This 379-nucleotide unclassified non-coding RNA is filed under the name uncultured Chlamydiales bacterium. RNAcentral describes it as "contains 16S-23S intergenic spacer region". Lineage: Bacteria; Pseudomonadati; Chlamydiota; Chlamydiia; Chlamydiales. The record is from RNAcentral.
UCCUAGUUAACCUAGGCAGUCUUGCCAGAGUCCCCGCCUUAACGCGUUGGCAACUGACAAUAAGGGUUGCGCUCGUUGCGGGACUUAACCCAACACCUCACGGCACGAGCUGACGACAGCCAUGCAGCACCUACAUAGAGAUCCUUGCGGAACAUCAUCAUCUCUGCUGACUUCCUCUACAUUUCAAGCCUGGGUAAGGUUCUUCGCGUUGCAUCGAAUUAAACCACAUGCUCCACUGCUUGUGCGGGCCCCCGUCAAUUCUUUUGGGUUUCACCCUUGCGAGCGUACUCCCCAGGCGGCAUACUUAACGCGUUAGCUACGAUACAGAUGGGGUUGAGCCCACCUACAUCUAGUACCCAUCGUUUACGGCGUGGACUAC